GAGCAACGCCGCGUGAGGGAUGAAGGCCUCUGGGCUGUAAACCUCUUUUAUCAAGGAAGAAGAUCUGACGGUACUUGAUGAAUAAGCCACGGCUAAUUCCGUGCCAGCAGCCGCGGUAAUACGGGAGUGGCAAGCGUUAUCCGGAAUUAUUGGGCGUAAAGCGUCCGCAGGCGGCCUUGUAAGUCUGUCGUCAAAGCGUGGAGCUUAACUCCAUUUAAGCGAUGGAAACUGCAAGGCUAGAGUGUGGUAGGGGCAGAGGGAAUUCCCGGUGUAGCGGUGAAAUGCGUAGAUAUCGGGAAGAACACCAGUGGCGAAGGCGCUCUGCUGGGCCAUAACUGACGCUCAUGGACGAAAGCCAGGGGAGCGAAAGGGAUUAGAUACCCCUGUAGUCCUGGCCGUAAACGAUGAACACUAGGUGUCGGGGGAAUCGACCCCCUCGGUGUCGUAGCCAACGCGUUAAGUGUUCCGCCUGGGGAGUACGCACGCAAGUGUGAAACUCAAAGGAAUUGACGGGGGCCCGCACAAGCGGUGGAGUAUGUGGUUUAAUUCGAUGCAACGCGAAGAACCUUACCAGGGUUUGACAUCCUGCGAAUCCCUUGGAAACGAGGGAGUGCCUUCGGGAGCGCAGAGACAGGUGGUGCAUGGCUGUCGUCAGCUCGUGUCGUGAGAUGUUGGGUUAAGUCCCGCAACGAGCGCAACCCACGUCGUUAGUUGCCAGCAUUUAGUUGGGCACUCUAGCGAGACCGCCGGUGAUAAACCGGAGGAAGGUGUGGAUGACGUCAAGUCAUCAUGCCCCUUACAUCCUGGGCUACACACGUACUACAAUGCUACGGACAAAGGGCAGCAAGCUCGCGAGAGUAAGCAAAUCCCAUAAACCGUGGCUCAGUUCAGAUCGUAGGCUGCAACUCGCCUACGUGAAGGAGGAAUCGCUAGUAAUCGCAGGUCAGCAUACUGCGGUGAAUACGUUCCCGGGCCUUGUACACACCGCCCGUCACACCAUGGAAGUUGGCCAUGCCCGAAGUCGUUACUCCAACCCUUGUGGAGGAGGACGCCGAAGGUGGGGCUGAUGACUGGGGUGAAGUCGUAACGGGGUAGCCGUACCGGAAGGUG
RNAcentral lists this ribosomal RNA (1110 nucleotides) under uncultured cyanobacterium. RNAcentral describes it as "bacterial SSU rRNA". It matches the Rfam family "Bacterial small subunit ribosomal RNA", at positions 389 to 1514 of the family's 1533-position model. The record is from RNAcentral. Lineage: Bacteria; Bacillati; Cyanobacteriota.